AUGGUGACGUUCACGGCACGCCGGAGCGAGCCCGAGCUGGUGCGCCCGGCGCGGCCGACGCCCGUCGAGACCAAGGCCCUCUCCGACCUCGACGACCAGUGGUCGCUGCGCUUCUACGAGUCCAUCGUCGGCUUCUUCCGCAGCCCGCCCGGCGAAAGCGUCAAGCCGGGCAAAGUGGCCAAGGGCAUCAAGGCCGCCGUGGCGGCGGCUCUGGUGUACUACUACCCCAUGGCUGGGCGUCUGCGGAAGCUCCCCGAGGGAAACAAGCUGGUGGUGGACUGCACGGGGGAAGGGGUGAUGUUCGUGGAGGCCAGCGCAGACGUGCGGCUGGAGGACCUCGGCCAGCCGUUGGUGCCGCCGUACCCGUGCGUCGAGGAGUUCCUGGGAGACGCCGGUGACACCAGGGAUGUGCUUGCCAAGCCUCUGCUUUUCCUGCAGGUGACACAACUCAAGUGUGGAGGAUUUGUUAUUGGGCUUCACAUGUGCCAUUGCAUUGCUGAUGGUUUUGGUAUCCUCCAAUUUAUCAAAUCCAUAGCCGAUUUUGCAUGUGGUGAACUCAUCCCAACCACUUUGCCCGUAUGGAAACGAGAUACCUUCACAGCACGUAUGCCACCCUCUAUCACGCAUGUCUACCCAGCAUAUAAAACAUUUAUUCAGGGGUUGGACUGCACGGGAGAUGACGUGAUGCUAUCAACUCCCCCGCAAAGCAUGGAAGUGCAAUAUUUAUUUUUUGGACCGAAAGAAGUAGCAAUUUUAAGGAGCCACCUCCCAGAACACCUUUCCAAAUCCACCACAACUUUUGAGUUGCUUACGACUGUUAUGUGGCGGUGUCGCACAUUGGCACUUGGUUAUGGAUCUAGUCAGAAAGUGCGUAUCAUGUUUACUUUAAAUACACGUGGGAGAAGCAUUAAUGGUGAAAGCAUUGUCCCACGUGGUUACUAUGGAAAUGCACAUUUUUCUCCCAUGGUCGAGAUCACCGUCAAUGAGCUUGUUACAAAGCCCUUUGAACAAGUACUUGAGCUGAUACACAAAGUCAAGUUAGGCACCACAAAGGAUUGCAUGAAGUCAAUGGUUGAUUUGAUGGCAUUAUGGCGAGAUCGUUCACCUUUCGGUAUGGACAGAACAUAUGAAGUUAGUGAUACAAAGUGGGUUGGAGGCAAUGCAUUGAAAUUUCGGAAGGCCGAGCUAGUUGCUGCUGGCACACCACAUGCUGGUGACUUCACGUCAAAGUUGAUUAGCUAUCAUACCAAGUGCAAGAAUAAAGACGGUGAGGACUCAACCGUGGUAUCAAUCUUAUUACCUAAACCUGCAAUGGUGAAGUUCACAGAAGAGAUGGCGAUUUGGUUGAAGAAGUAG
This 1356-nucleotide ribosomal RNA is filed under the name Triticum aestivum (bread wheat). RNAcentral describes it as "partial small subunit ribosomal RNA". The record is from RNAcentral. Lineage: Eukaryota; Viridiplantae; Streptophyta; Magnoliopsida; Poales; Poaceae.